AGUGAACGCUGGCGGUAGGCCUAACACAUGCAAGUCGAACGGCAGCACAGUAAGAGCUUGCUCUUACGGGUGGCGAGUGGCGGACGGGUGAGGAAUACAUCGGAAUCUACUUUUUCGUGGGGGAUAACGUAGGGAAACUUACGCUAAUACCGCAUACGACCUACGGGUGAAAGCAGGGGAUCUUCGGACCUUGCGCGAUUGAAUGAGCCGAUGUCGGAUUAGCUAGUUGGCGGGGUAAAGGCCCACCAAGGCGACGAUCCGUAGCUGGUCUGAGAGGAUGAUCAGACACAAUGGAACUGAGAAACGGUCCAGACUCCUAAGGGAGGCAGCAGUGGGGAAUAUUGGACAAUGGGGGCAAGCCUGAUCCAGGCAUACCGCGUGGGUGAAGAAGGCCUUCGGGUUGUAAAGCCCUUUUGUUGGGAAAGAAAAGCAGCAGGUUAAUACCCCGCUGUUCUGACGGUACCCAAAGAAUAAGCACCGGCUAACUUCGUG
Molecule: ribosomal RNA, 492 nt
Filed under: uncultured bacterium
Lineage: Bacteria
Description: partial 16S ribosomal RNA
Rfam family: Bacterial small subunit ribosomal RNA
Source: RNAcentral